Molecule: ribosomal RNA, 481 nt
Filed under: uncultured bacterium
Lineage: Bacteria
Description: partial 16S ribosomal RNA
Rfam family: Bacterial small subunit ribosomal RNA
Source: RNAcentral
GACGAACGUUGGCGGCGUGCUUAAUACAUGCAAGUCAACUGAAGCAGUGGUAGCAUUAUCGCUGUGGCGGUGGCGCCCGGGUGAGUAACACGUAGGUAAUCUGCCUUCAGGUCUGGCAUAACUCCGGGAAACCGGGGCUAAUAGCAGAUGAUGCAGCGGCUCGACAUCGAGACAGUUGUUAAAGCUCUGGCGCCUGAAGAUGAGCCUGCGUCUGAUUAGCUAGUUGGCGGGGUAACGGCCCACCAAGGCAACGAUCAGUAGCUGGUCUGAGAGGAUGAUCAGCCACACUGGAACUGAGACACGGUCCAGACUCCUACGGGAGGCAGCAGUAAGGAAUAUUGCUCAAUGGGAGAAAUCCUGAAGCAGCAACGCCGCGUGAGGGACGAAGGGCUUUUGCUUGUAAACCUCUGUAGUGAGAGAAAAAAAUCCCAAUCUUUGGGACAUGAUGGUAUCUCAAAAGUAAGCCCCGGCUAACUACGUG